CUCACCAUUACACCCCCACUAAUUCACUCAACCCUCACUUCUCUCUACCCUACUCAGACUUCCCCAACUCCCAACACUGUCACUCUCUCUCAUCCCUCACUACUCUUUACCUCUCCCAUCUGUCCCCCCUCUGCAACUCUCCUUCUCCCUCUCAGCAAAACCGAGAACCACCACCGUAAUCCCUUGUGCUUUUGCGCUGAUUCCAGUUUUUUAGUGAUUUCUAAGAAACGCAGUGUACGAUACCUGUUCCGGCCUGAUUUGAAGAAGAUUUCUCAAGCGACUGUAAUUUCAUGGGAAGUUGGCUUAAAGCAGUUCCAAAAUUUGGGAUUGUUUGGGAUAUUUUUAGGUUUUUCUGAUUCUUGAAAAAAACCAUGGUUAAGAGUAAAUUAAUUAUGUUUUAAUUUUCAUUUAAUUCAGGUAACUGUCUUUAGUUUUUUGGUUUGAACGCCUAGAACCAGUGAUCUUUGAAAAAGAUCAAAGGGGUCAAGCAGUGGAGGAGUGGGUUAAUAGUUAUGUGUUCUGCUUGAUAAUUGUAUGUGUUUAUGCCCUCAAGAAUUUGGGAGAUAUCAUGGGAUUGUUUGUGAUCUGAUUAAAUACAAAUGUUAUUUUAUACAAAUGUUAUUUGGGUAAAUCUUGGUAUAAGUGUUAUACAAAUGUUAUUUUAUAACAACUGUAUGUAAGUCUAUUCUACUUGAGAUUCUAACAUGAAAAACUCCACAUAAUAAGACUGCAGCAGCUGCAGCUCCACCAUUAUUUCUGAAAAAUUAGGUAAAAAAUCUCCUCUGCAAUUUUUUAUUUAUUUAUUUUUAACAAUGAACCAAUGAAUGCACAAAAAAGUUUAGCAUGCUCUGAUUUUUGUCUUUUGAUAGCACAUAUUUACUAAGUCAAUUACCUGCUUUGCAACAGCUUCUUUCUUGCCUUCUUGAUUGCCAGGUACGGAUGCAUGCAUUAUAAUUAUGUUUUUGUAGUUUAAUUAUCCUCUUUGAAAUUUCUAUCAAAAUAUUCAUUUUUCCUGCGUUUUGAAGUUGAAUAGUGUAGUUUUUGGAGUGAACAUAAUUUCAUGUACAAGUCACUUGCUUUUCAUUUUUCAGUUUCUGUUCUGUUAAUGUCAGAUGCUUCAAGAAGCACUUCUAUGUUUUUUUAAGGGAGCAUUUGGUCCUUGGUAGAAACUUCAAACAUGUUUUAAGUAAAAACAUUUCUAGCAAAAGCGCUUGAAAGUAUAAGUGCUUCUUAUAGAAGAGCUUUCAAACGACUAAUAAGCCCUUUGUUUCAUUGCAAUUGAAGAUUUGGUUUUGGAUUUCAGGUCAAGAUCUCUGAGUACAUUGAGAAUAAGUGUGUGAUUCUCUUUUUUUUUACGCAUUUGACGUCACAUUUGUUUGUCCUAUAGGUAAGCAUGUUUUCGUAAUCAGCAUAUCUGCGUUGUGCAUGUUUUCGUAAUCAGCAUUUCUGCAUUGUAACACAUUUAGUCCAUUCUUCUAACAGUUAUACUUUGUGUAAAUAGUUUUUACAUAUAUAGGCACAAAGCUUAUAACACAUUUAGUCCAUUAUUCUAACAGUUAUAUACAAUACUGAUAAUCUAUUUCACAUUCCCACGGCAACGUGCAAGUUAUCUAUAUAUACGAAUUUAAUAAGCAAUGGCCAUUAUCUAAAAUUUGGGACUGAUCAUAAAAAAGGUUGUUACUUUUUAUAAUAGGAACAUAGAGGAACAAAAAUCAACUUUCAUUUUCCAACGACUGACUCCAACUUUGUUGUGUUGUUCUCAAUUUUAAUCUUCUAUCUACUUGAAUCUAUUUUUUUAAGCCUAAUUAGUUCAUGCACUUAUCGUUUAAAUAUGCUAAAUCCUUUAUAUUUAAAAUUUUGUGUGUUGAAUAUCAAGAUAGAGAGACUUUUCUCCGAAACACCGUCUGUCCAUUAACCACACAUAUGUUCAGUUAUCUCAUUGUUAUCAUCCAUAGUUCAAACCACACAUAAUAUAAAAUUUGACAUAAACUUUACAUGUUUGGUUAAUAAUGCCUAAUGUUUUCGUCAAUGCAGGACCUGGUAAGCCAACAGUUUUCAACUGCGAGACGAUGCAUUAACUAAUAGGCGUAUGAAAAGAUUACAAGGAUUGUGUUCAGGUAGGAAUUUCGCUGGGAAGGGUCUCUGGCUCGAGCACACAGCUCCCCAAGGAGUUGGCAUUUUGGUUUUUUUUUUUCAGGCUCCUGUUUGUCGGGAUGCUACAAAAGGAGGACACGGUUAGUUCUGACAGGUACCUUUGUAGGGCCUUAGGUGUAGGCCUUGAGGCUCAUAAUCAAAACUAACUGAGUGCAGAGGCGUGCCACUGCCAUCUCUAUAUGAUAGAUGUAGAACAAGUGUAUUUAAGUCGAUUACUUGCGUCCCAAGUUAUUCUGACUUCUUGUUAUCAAAGGAUUGUCGUGGAUGGGUUAAGUCCACAUUAAGUUCUUUUCUAUACCUUGAGACCAAGGAUUUUUAGUUUGUUAUGUUUUAUGCUUAGAGGGUGAAGGUCCAUAUCUGAUUAAGUCACCAGUUUGGUUCCCAUUUAGCCUUUUUAAUGAUGGUAAACCACUAACUAAGCUAGAUCUGAGCACUGAUGGGACUUUGGAUCGUCAAAAGACUAGAAACGACUUGAACAUAUAUUGGGAAAUACAUUGUAACACCAGAUUUAUUGAUUUAAAGGCAAAACAAAGAGAAUUGGGUAAGCUUUCACCUUGUCGGGCAAGGUCUAAACGUCUUGUGGUCUCUUCUCCUUGUGGUUACAAUGGAUCGAGUACUAAAAUGGGGCAAAAGAUGAACAAAUUUACAUGAGAGAAUCAAUACUACAACAUUUGGAAAAGGUAGUAGAGCUUUUACACUAGACAAAAAAUGUCUUUCUAAGGGGAAUCUAUGGCUAAAAGGGUGCAGAGUCUAGACAAAGUACAGCUUUCUGGGUAUUUGCUUGAUUGAGAGGUAAGUUGUAUAUUUGCUUGUUUGAUUGAUUAAGUGUCCUUAUCUCUGGGUCCUCUUCCUCUAUUUAUAGACGAAUUAGCCCUACUGCCUGUAGCUUUAUUCUUGCCCAAAAGCAAUUGAAGGGUAGUGAGUCAUCAAUAUUUUACUUGUAUUGCCACUAAAAAGUACUUUUGGGCUGAGAGUAGGUUGAUUUCCAUCAGUUCUCACUUCUCUUGCAAGCACCUUGCCUUAGCAUUAAUGGGGAAGCACCAAUUGGUCUUGACAUGGACGGUUUGGGCUUGGUGCUAGGCUUUAAGUAAGCCUCAUUUCUUUAAUCUUUUUGGGCCCUUCUUCCUUUUGGCCCAAAGUUCAAAUGUUAACCCAAACAGUGCCCCCUUUAAUCAUUGUUAAGUUGGCAUCUCGAGACGCUAAUAAUGAUUAAACCGACAUGCAUCUUCCUCGAAACUUUCAUUAAUUAAAACAAUUAGUGCAUUUCCAGACCCUUGUGCUAACCCACGAAUCAUAUCUCUAAGUUGAUUGUCCACUAUAAAUUUCCUACUCGACUACUUGGUUAAACACCUUAAUAACUUUAAGCUUUGAAUUUCCUAAUUUUCUCAAAAUUUUCAGAACCUUCAUAUUUUCCAGAAAAUCCUCCUUAAUUUUUACAACUCUUGAUGGCACCUUGAGUUUGAACUCAGCCCUUUUGUGAGAUUGGUGAGGAGAUUUCCACCAUUUGCCACUUGUUAUAUGGCCCUCACCGCCUAUGUACUGAGUUUUUCUUUGAUAAGGGGUGGGUGCUUUCUUUGGGACCUGCAUGGAUAUUUCAGGCUUCAGUAGCUGCAAAAAGCGACAUGCUUAAGGCUAAUCCUAGCUUUUGCAUUCUUGGUCACUUCAUUAUCAUAGGUGUAUGCUUUGGGAUCAAUAUCAAAGUUUCUAGGAGGACCAUCAUCAGCCCAAGCCUCAUUCUCAAGCGUCAAAGUAUCCAUCAGCUUUUCAUUGAUUCAAAUGAUGGGUUCAACCAUGAGAUCAGUAAUGGGCCUCAACCUCAGUAUCUGCCCCUAAAUUUUCCAUUCCACAGAGGCUUGAGUGCACACACAUAGCUUUAUGGGCCCUUUAAGCAUGGAUGCAGAGGGAUUUUAUUGCUUCAGAUAAGCUAAGUAGAAUCUUCAUUUUUACGCCAGCACACCGUCUUAGGAUAGUUGCUUCAGAUGAGCUGAGUAGAAUCUCCAUGUAACUUCAUCAUUUAAUGAAAUGAAAAUGUCGUUUUUCUGUA
This is a long non-coding RNA of Pyrus x bretschneideri (Chinese white pear), 4198 nucleotides long. RefSeq lists it as uncharacterized. NCBI's taxonomy places the organism in Eukaryota, Viridiplantae, Streptophyta, Magnoliopsida, Rosales, Rosaceae. The record is from RefSeq and is a predicted model, not a curated record. The transcript is spliced from 3 exons.